UCCCAGGACAGGGGCAGGGACACCGGGGAGCCGGAGCCCCCGGCAGGGGCGCAGCAGCCUGCACAGCUCACCUUGGAGAGCAGGGGCGCGUGUACCCCGGGGAGAAAAGCCUUACGGCUGCCCCAGCUGUGGGAAGAACUUCACCUGCAAGUCCCGCCUCCGUGCCCACCAGCGCGCGCAGGCUCGGGAGAAGCCGCUGCGCUGCCUGCAGGGAGAGCUCCAGAUCCGGCGCAGCACUCACCAAGCAAUAGCAAACCCGCAGACCAGACCCUUGCCAUUGACACACGACUAUUUCAGCCCACUUCCAUCUCGCCUUCCUUUCCUGCAGCCUGUGCCCUGUUGUGGGGUUUGGGAGUAGAUCCGGCCCCUGGUCUGAAGUGCUCCCACCUCCCCAUGGACCACGUGCUGAUUUUGCGUGGCCCUGAGAGUGGAAAGGGAGGGAGUUGCAAGUCCCCAGGGCAUCUCUCCGCAGGGGAACAACCCUCAUUCUGUUCCCUUGGCUGUCAACACCUGCCCCGUGUGCUCCAAGCCCAGGGUGCAGUCGGCAAUCUGGGUGUGAUGGCGGGCCGCAGAGGCAGCUCCCUGGCUGGUUCCCUGUGACGUGUUUUGUUUCACGGGGCGACUGCUUGUCCCUGUGUCGAACUCUUAACGGCUGUGCUGAGAGUGCAGCUGGCGGGGCUUGGAAGAGAACAGCUGCUCCUAGUAGUGUACGACUCGGUCCUCCAGGCUGAUUUGCACUCUAGUGAGAAACAUUCACUCAGGUAUGGAAACAAGCUUCAGUGAGGUAUUGGAUGCACUGCCAAGAUGCUCAAGAAGGCUUGAUUUUGUUUUAUGAAUCUGAAAGAGAUGUAUAUUUAUGUACAUUAUGAAUCUCAAAGGGAUGCAGCAAGAGAGGCUUAGGUUGGAUACUAGGAAAAAAAUUAUCCUUAGGAGGGUGGUGAAGUACUGGAAUGGGUUACCUAGAAAGGUGGUGCACUCUCCAUCUUGAAGGUUGUUAAGGCCCAGCUCAACAAAGCCCUUGCUGGGAUGAUGUAGUUGGGGCUGGUCCUGAUUUAAGCAGGGGGUUGGACUAGAUGUGACCUCCUGGGGUCCC
Long non-coding RNA from Alligator sinensis (Chinese alligator), 1093 nucleotides. RefSeq lists it as uncharacterized. The record is from RefSeq and is a predicted model, not a curated record. NCBI's taxonomy places the organism in Eukaryota, Metazoa, Chordata, Crocodylia, Alligatoridae. The transcript is spliced from 3 exons.